Pan troglodytes (chimpanzee) is the source of this 9886-nucleotide long non-coding RNA. RefSeq lists it as uncharacterized. The transcript is spliced from 3 exons. NCBI's taxonomy places the organism in Eukaryota, Metazoa, Chordata, Mammalia, Primates, Hominidae. The record is from RefSeq and is a predicted model, not a curated record.
AGCAGAGUUGGGGCUGUAUGGUUCGUUACCUGCUAGUUUCAGUCCGAAGACAUUUGACGCCUGUGCGGGUUUCCUUUUCUGUUGCCAAAGGUUCUGGAAGCAGGACCUCGGAGUCGGGAAGGAAAUGCAUUUCAGGAGCCGGGAGGAGCAGGCCUCGCCGACCUGCAGGCAGAGGGCGCAAUGCCUGGCGAGGUGCCUGCCCAGAGCCUGCCUGCCCUGCAAGAAAAAGCCAUUUGGAGGCCCCAGGUGGCCAGUACUGGGACAAAGCUGUUCCCUGCCCUCAGGAAAGCCAGACCCACGCUGGGUCAGGUCCUAAACUUUCUCCAUGGGGUGGGUUUUGUUCACCUCCACAGGCAGUGGGGGCCCCUGGACCCCAGAGAACACAGGGGACGGGGGGACAGGGCAGGAGGGGCUGGUAGGGAGGCAUCGGAGUGUGGCAGGCACUGGAGCAUCAGCCACAUGCCAGUGAUGGGCCGGUAGACCUGAGCUCCAGCCUAGGUCUUCACCUCACUGAGUAAGGACCCUGCUUGCAAUCCGCACACCUGUGCGCAGGGCUGGGCAUUGCUGUUGGUAGUAAUGGCCUCUCUGUUUGCACCUCUUGUCCCACAAACCAUAGGAAGCCCUUUCUGGGGUACACAGGUGGCAAGGGUACAUCCCCAGAGGAAGUCUGGACUUCCCAAGGCUGACAAGUGGUCUGUUGACAAAUGGAUCCACUGGGUCAUCUGGUUCAUGAUUUCCCUUCCAUCAUGCUGGCAACUUGCAUGCACCCCUUCCAUCAGAAGCCAAAUGGGAUUUAAGAGCCAAGCAUCCCUUUCCCUGACUUUGCUCAUCUGCAGCUGGGUGCACUUUGUAGCCCAGCGUGAUGCCUUUCCGAGCCCUUAGCAGAGCGACCAGCUCACCUCAAUGAAACCCCCUUCCUCAAAGACCACACCCGGGGUUCCCAGCCCCUGGCUCCCCGGCAGCCCUGGCUGGAGCAGAGCCUACCUGGCAGGUAGAUGUGGAAGGAAGGAAGAAAAGCAAACCUGGGAGUGAAGGGAAGCCCAGGCUGGGCUGGGCUGGAGGAGGCGUCAUGGGGUGCAGCCAAGACCUCUCCACUUUCCUCCUCCAGCCACAUCCGCAUAUCCUAUUUCUUAAGUCACAGGGGAUCUCACCUCCAGUUCCCAGCUCGGCCCCCAUCAGGCUCAGCCUGUUCUCAAAUGUCUCGGUCACUUUUCCCGCCAAGGCUUCUCCUACCACAGUGCACCAGUGGGUGGCUCCUCAGGGGCAGUCCCCAGACAGCAUCCCCACAGCCUGGCAAGCUUUCCUGACCAGGUUCACAUGUUGGCCUGGUCAGACUGGAGGAAACCAGCUGUCCCAAGCUGAAGUCUUCUCCUUCUUUACCAUCUCUCUCUCCCUCUCCCUUCCUCCCUCUCCCUCUCUCUCUUUCUCUCUCUCUCUUUCUCUCUCUCUCUCUCUCCCCCUGCCACGGUCUGCAAAGGCCCCUGGGCACUGUCCAGGUGCCCAGGCUGAGCCCCAACCCUAAGAGCGUCACCUCUGUAAUGUGCAGAAACUAAAAAGCCUCCCAUCAUGACGAGCUACAAGUAGGUUCCACCUGCAAGAGGCGGAGCUCCACACUGCUGGGGCAUCUGCUCGUUCAUUUUGGUUUAACUGUCAGGAUGGACGGUGCCCUUGUUAUGCCAAGGCAGGGCAUAAGCACCUCUGGAACAGUGGGGUGGAGAUGCUUCAACUUCUGGAAGACCACACCCCUCGGGGAGAACAUCUGGGUAUCAGGCACAGGAGAAAAGGCAUGUCUGACUCAGCGGGAGAGCAGGGCGCCUGGGGGUGCUUAUGGGGUUUGUUCCCCCAACCUGGCCCUUGGUCUGGGCGUGAGUGCCAUGGUUGAGGAGGGGAGAAGAAGACCAGGGCUGACAGAGGGGUUGGGGAGAGACUUUCUGCUGCUGGAACGAGCAAAGUUGCUGAGCCGCCCAGAGAGAGAAGUACAGUACAGAGGGGCGGGGCUUUUUCCCACCUGCCCGUCUUGGUAAUGGGCAUCUUGUAAAAAUCAUACUUUCCAGUGGGUUAUGGCUGAUAUUUAGGAUGACUGUUAGAUUUGGUGUGUUUUGUGUCUAGCCAGCUGAUAACCUUUCCAAUUUGCUUUAAUAUGUUAACACGUUCUCUUCAAUUUUCCAGGAAUACCAGCAUGUUUAUAAGUAAUGAUGAUCAAUUUUUUGCCGUAUAACUCCUCGGGAAAACAUACUUAGGUUAUGAAGCAUUCCCUGCGGUAACCUUGAGACUUACGGCAGCAUUGUCUCAUCUGUUGGUGUUUUAAUUAUAUCAGCUGCUUAACUUUCUUAUUUUAAAAAAACAUAUUGUUAUGGAAAAUUCAAACAUACUCAAGCAUGCUAGGCCAGUGAGCCUCCAUGCCCCUCACCCAGCUGCAGUGAGCAUCAGCGUUUUGCAGGCUUGCUUCCGCACUGUCUCCGAGUUUUUUCCUGGAGUGUAUUAAGGUAAUCCGUAAUUCCACCUUGAAUACCUCAGUAUGUGUCUUUAACAGAUAAGGGUAUUUUGCCACGACUGAUACACACAUUUAACAAAAUGAUCCGUAAUUCCUUAAUAGAGUCUGAUAUUCAGUUCACUUUCAAGUUUCCUCCAAGCUGUGAUGGCCCACCUCCUUUCCAAGCGUUGCUUUCCCUACUUGUGUUUUCAGUUUCCACCUUUCUCACACUGGCUAUACGAAUAUAGGCUCUCCAGACGUUGGCUGAGGUGAUGAAAACAGUAUGUGGCUUUCGGCAGCUCUGGAUCCAAGGACGGAGAGGUGGAUCCAAACCUGACAGCAAAGAACUGAUUUCAGAUGCCCAUGGUGCAACAGUAGAGUGAUGCCCGCGAGGAGGGGUGGGCCAGAGCUGAGGGAGGUCUCCCAUCCGAGGGGCUGAGCUUGCUGCCUUGGGCAGCACAGAAAGGGCUUCCGCGCUCCAACCUGCAAACACGCCAGCUAAUUGUCCAGGACUGAGACCGUUUGAGAAAAUGAUGGUGAAAUCGAUCACAAUGUUUCUUCUGAGGAAGUGAGCCAAAGGAACUUCGUCAUAUUUAUCCAUUCACAAACUCUUCUAAGAAUAGUUUCACUCUUUCACCCAGGCUGGACUGCAGUGGUGUGAUCUCAACUUCUGCCUACCAGGUUCAAACAAUUCUUUUGCCCCAGCCUCCUGAGUAGCUGGAAUUACAGACACCCGCCACCAAGCCCAGGUAAUUUUUGUAUUUUUAGUAGAGACAGGAUUUCACCAUGUUGGCCAGGUUGGUCUCGAACUCCUGACCUCAGCUGACCUCCACCCACCUCGGCCUCCCCAGGCGUGAGCCACCACGCCAUCCCAUUCUACUCUCUUGAAUAAGGCGCUUCACUGUCUGGAGGCUGCAGGGUGGGGUGGAGAGUCUCAGGAGACUUGCUGCUGCCUUAUUCUGAUGUGCAGGAAGAAUGUGACUCCAGUACUCAGUGUCUUAUGAACCAAAUGAUCCACUUCCUAAGCCGUUUUGCAAAAGAAGCCUUCGAGUGAUCUUCACCUUGGAGAGACCCAGAACUCACACCACGCUUGCACGGCAGGCUAGGGAUCAGACUGCUCUGUCCAUAUACGGGGACAGGCAGACGUCAUGAUAUGGUUCUCGGUGCUCUUUCUGGACUGCUCAGCAAUAGGCCAGCUGGGAUUGGGGUGCCUUCAGCCCAGCAGGGACUGGGGGCUGGGGGCAUGGAUCCCAGGCCUCCUGAUGCUGGCUGCUGAACUUCCCAGCACUCCCUUAGGGAGGGGGCAUCCAGGCUCAGAUGACUCCCACCCCAGCUCCUCAUGUUCCCUGCUGAUGAGUGCACUCAGCCCAUGGAAAGGGAGAAUGGCGGGGGACAGGUCCCCUCCUGGGGCAUCCUCACUAAGAUACCAAGAGAUUGGAGCUUCCAGACCUCCCACUGCUGAUUUCAGAAUUAGCUUCCCCAGGCUGGCCAGUUUCUUAUCCCAAACCCUGCACAUUGCUGUGUGAUUUGCCACGUCCCUAAAUGGUUCAUGCCCAGUAGCUCUCUGGGGACAGCAAAUUGGUAGUCACCCACUGUGCUUUCCUCAGAGUCAUCCACAGUACCCUUGGGGAAGGCCAUUGCCCCAAGUAGAAGAGUGCAUGAGAUGUCGGGAGGCUUCCUAGAAGCAGAGGUCAGCCCCCCCGCCUGCAGCGUAUGAAUGAGAAACAGGCCCAGGGUGUCUUCUGACUUGCAGGGCAUGAGUGUGAAUUUUAUGGGUCCACUUGGCUGUGCCACAGGAUACCCAGAUAACUAGUGAAAUAUUAUUUCUGGGUGUGUCUGUGAGAAUGUUUCUGGAAAAGGCCUUGAAAUCAGGAGACUGCAUGAAACACUCAUGAGAUCAGUGUGGGCAGGCAGCAUCCAGCUCAUCGAGGGCUGAGUAGAACAGGAAGAUGAGGAGGGCACGUUUGCUCUCUCUGCUUGAUCUGGGCUGCCCAUCUUCUCCUGCCCUCAGAUGCUGGUGCUCCUGGUUUUCCAGUCUUCAGACUCACACUGGGACUCACGUGGUGGACUCCCCUGGCUCUCAGGCCUUUGGGCUUGGACUGGAAAGCACCACCGGUGGUCCUCAGCCUCCGGCUUGCAGACAGCAGAGUGUGGGACUUCUCAGCCCCCAAAAUCACAUGAGCCGACCCCAUAAGAAAUCAUUCUCCAUGUAUCUGUGUAUAUCCUGUUGGUUCUCUUUCCCUGGAGACACUGGCCAAUACACAGAUGGACAGAGUAGCACUGGCUGGGCUAGUGUCACCGUUCCCAGCUGCUGGGGUGACAGAGCAGCACUGGCUGGACUAGUGUCACUGUUCCCAGCUGCUGGGGGGACCAACUGUCCUGGUUUGUCUGAGGCUGAGCAUUUCUUGGGAUGCAGGACUUUUAGCACCAAUACCAGAACAUCCUGGGCAAACUGGGAAGAGUGGUGGCUCCACACAUUAUCAGUCAAGCCCCUCCCUGCGUCCUCCCUGCCCAGUGCAGCACUCCCCUGCCCUGUGGUCAGAGCCUGCUGGCCCAUCACUCCCUCCGGCCUUGCUACCGUCUCCGCCUCCUCCAGCUUAGCAGGAAAAAGCAUACACAGUCGGUGCUUAAUGGUUGUGCUCUGUGCUGCACUGAGGUGGGCUGUAGGCAGGGCCAGCAGAUGAUAAUUGGGAGGGCAGCCCAGUCCCAGGUUCAUUAGCCAGGGAGGCUAAGGCCAAGGAUGGCCCCAGGCAUGGCUCAGCCUCGGCGGUGGGGAAGGGCAUGGGCGGUGUUUGAUGCCCACACCUCCAUCUGUCCCAGCAGUCCCUUUACAUCCCAUCAUUUAAAACGAGCAAACGCCAAUUAAUAAAAUAAUCCCCCGAAACCAUUUUCCUCCCGGAUUGUGAGCCUACAUCAGAGGUAAGCCUGCAGGGAAGUGUUACACAGGCUCAUCAAGACCUUAAGUGAGGCUGUGGGGCCCACCCUCAUGCCAGGGGCCCCCAAGACAGACGCUCCUGGAUGAAAUGAAGUGUAAGCCAGGGCCUGCAAGGGAGCCACAGGCUGGGGUGGCCUUGCCUGGACAACGGCCUGUUAUUCUCCGUUUACCGCAUUUCUCUCCCGGUAAACAACAUACAACUGAGGACCCACUUCUCAUGCACAAAUGAGCAGUCCCGAACCCGAAACUUCAGUCAGUGGCUGGCCCUCCCUCUCAGGCCACCUGUCACCUGCUGGCCCAGUUGCUGCAGGGUCCAUGCCUCCCUCUGUGCCUGUACCUGCUGGAAGAGGCCGCCGCAUGUUACUCCCUGUCAAGAAAGAAUUAAAGAAGCAUCUUGGGUAGGAAGCAAUUGUGGAGGGUGGAAGUUUCUGGCCAGGCAAAUAAAUUGGAUUUAAGUAUAUUACAGUCAUAAUCUUUUUCUGCCCCUCUCCAGACGGUCUCUGUACAUGGAAAAAUGAGAAUGUAUUCGCAGACAAAGCUUGACCUGAGGGAGACGCCUGCCGGAAUCUGGAUUUUCAAUAACAUAAGACAAUAAAGCUUAGACUUCUAACCUGCCGCAAUAUGGGAAAAGUAUAAAGAGCUUAGCUGCUAAUAAAAGGGAAGGGUCUUCCCCUCAUAUUUGAAGAUCCGGACCCCCCAGAAGGACACUUCAUGAAGAUCACAGUGGGUUAGCUGGGAUCAUGCAGACACGAGGCCCCUUGUUGACCGAUUGUCUGACAGUUGUCACGUAUGGGUCUGAUAUUAAUAAGGCCCGCAUUGAUUUCCUUGGGGUAUUUUUGUCCCUGUGAGUGCACAGCCUCCUGUUGUGGCUCUAGCCUCGGUGGCGCUGAGCUACAGUUGCCCUCAGCAGGAUGCACAGGUGGGGCUGCCCUCCCCGGGGUGUGCACACCUUGCCAGUGGCACCUCCCUCAGUGGGCGGCUGGAGGGGAAGAGGGGACAUGCUAAGGACAGGGGACAGAGUCAGGGCCACUCCCUUGGAGACCGGGUACCCUGGUCCACCCACAGCAGGCAGGGCUUGUGAACGAUGGGCUUGGGAGUGAGCCUUCUCUUGUUUUGCUUGCUCAUCCAGUACUUCCUCUAGGAUGCAAGUGGGCUGCCGGCAGUGUUACUGGGGUAAGUAACUGGGUGAAGUCAGCCGGAGGAAAGCGGCAGUGCUUAGUUAAAAGUGUUCUUUGACAUGUAACAUACGGCGGAAGCGGCCGCCCGGCCUUGGUGAAUUUCAAUGCUAAGAAGCCUUGUUGCUCACCCAUCUCCUCCCACAGGGCAGAGGGCAUUGCCCUGUCCCCUUGGUCCCCACCCAGACUUUCUCCAAGGGCACUCUUCAGUGUCAUCUGCACUUUAAAAUGACAUUGAGGCCAAGCUUUCCGAAAUAGUCGAAUUCUGCUUGUACCAGGUGCAUCCCUGCAUCUGCACCUCAGACGAGCCAGCCUCAUCCACAGUGCACACUGUCACCUGCUGGCCCAGUUGCUGCGGGGUCCACGCCUCCCUCUGUGCCUGUACCUGCUGGUACAGUCAGGCAUGCAGCCCACCUAGUUGCGGCCCCUGGUGAGAAGGGCGAGCAAAAAGUGCGGGACGCUGGGUGCUCCAGGACAGGCCCAUACUCUGCACACCUGCUGGGCACCAUUGUUCUCUAGGAACUUGCGCCCAGCACCCAGGGUCCUCUGGAGAGAAAGGAGCACAGGACAGUGUGCACCUAGGUGGGCUGCAUGCCUGACUCGCUGCUGUGUCCAUAUUUUGGGAACCUAGGACACUUUCUACAGUGAGUCAGAACAAUCUCCAAGCCAUGUGGGCUUCCCUCUUUGUCAAAUACUAUUGAAACGCAGGACGCUUAUAGGAACCAGGUGGCAGCUGGCGAGAUGGGGGCCGCUUCUCUCAGGGUGGAGGCUCCAGGCAGAGCUUGGAGAAAUGGCCCAGCCCAGGGUGUUCUGGGGACCUGCAGAGGGAGCUGCCUGCUUCUGGGUCAAACAAUCAGGGCUGCCAGGAGCUGGGGCUGAGCCUUGAGAUAGGGACUGAAGAACCAUCUCCUCCCCUCCAGCCAGCAUGGCAGCUGCCUGGACAGUUGAUUACCAUCGUCCUAUGACAGCAGGGCCUGAGGUCUGUGGAUGGUGUCCAUGACCUAUCGGGCCUGGAAGACCAGAGCUCAAGACCCCAGAUGGGCUCCUCGUCAGACAGGCCUGGCAUGGGAAGUGGGCACCCAGCUGUGUCACUCCCUAGUUCUGUGAGUGGAUCUUCCUGAGCCUCAGUUUCCCCAUCAGAAUACAGGAGAAACAUGGAGUUUCUAUGAACUGAAUUGGGUCCCCCUAAAAUUCCUAUGUUGAAGCCUUAACUCCCAGUGUGACCCUAUUUGGAGAAAGAGCCUACAAGGAGGUAAUAAGGGUUAGAUGAGGUCCUAACGAUGGGGCCCAGAUAUGAUCGAAUUUGUGUCCUUAUAAGAAGAGAAACCAGAGAGCUCACUGUCCCUCUCUCUCCACAGGUGAAGAUACAGCAAGAAGACAGGCAUUGGCAAGCCAGGAAAGGAGGGCUUACCAGAACCCAGCCAUGCUGGCAGCAUGAUCUCAGACCUCCAGCCUCCAGAAUGGAGAGAAAUAUGCCUGGUUGGAUAGAAGAAGAGGAGGCAAAGACACAGACGAAACACACCAAAGGAUGGCCAUAGGAUGACACGGGGAGAAGGCAAGCAUCAGCAAGCCAAGAAGAGGGACCUCAGAGGAAACCAUAUCUGCUGAUACCUUGAUCUUGGACUUCCAGCCUCCUGGAUGGUGAGAAAAGAAAUUUCUGUUGGUUAAACCACCCAGCCUGAGCUGCCUAAUACAGGUUGAUUUGUUUACAGCUGCCUCUGCCCUCUGCCUAGAGAGAGUUGCUCUUUUAUUCCUCAACCUCCUCUGAAGGUUUUUCCGUCUGUCACUAAGUCACCUGCUCACAGGCUUCCCAGCUUUGUGACAGGUGAACAAAACACUCACACGUUAGAAAAAAUAUGGGCAUGGCCUUAACUCCUACUGGACCUAAACCUCUUGCAAAUAAAAACUACAAACUCUAGACCAAAAAGGAAAAACGAAAAACAAGCUCUACUCAGUUCUCUGCUUAACUUUUGAACUACACAUGCUUUUAGGCAGACUCAAUGCAUUUUAGCUAAGGAUAAAAUAUCUGAACUGUGAUUUGAGCUGAUACGAAAGAGACAAAUUUGCCGUUUAAGUUUAACUGAGAAAAAAAUGAACAUUCUCUGGAAGAUUAGAACAGAGUUUAGAACCUCCACAACAUAAUGUUCCUAAUAUUCAGGAUACAAUCUAAAAUUGCUUGACAUAUGAAGAACCAGGAAAAUGCGACCCAGUUUAAACCAAAAAGUCAAUCAACUGAGAACAAUUCUGAGAUGAUCAAGAUGUUGAAAUUAAAAGACAAGGAUUUUCCCAGCACUUUGGGAGGCCGAGGUGGGCAGAUCACGAGGUCAGGACAUUGAGACCAUCCUGGCUAACACGGUGAAACCCCGUCUCUACUAAAAAUACAAAAAAUUAGCUGGGCAUGGUGGCAGGUGCCUGCAGUCCCAGCUACUCAGGAGGCUGAGGCAGGAGAAUGGCGUGAACCCGGGAGGCGGAGCUUGCAGUGAGCGGAGAUCACGCCACUGCCCUCCAGCCUGGGUGACAGAGCGAGACUCCGUCUCAAAAAAAAAAAAAAAAAAAAGACAAGGAUUUUAAGAAAGAUAUUACAACGAUACUCAAUGAAGUAAAGGGAAAUAUGCUUGCAGGAAAGAAAAGAUAAGAAAUCUCAGCUAAGAAAUAGAAACUGAAAAUACGGACCAAGUGGAAAUUCUGGAACUGAAAAAAAGACAAUAUCUGAAAUUAAAGAUUCACUGGAUUGUCUUAAUAACAGAACAGAGAUGAGAAAUGAAGAUCAGUGUACUUGAAUACAGAUAAAAUCUAUUCUGAAGAGGAGAGAGAAAAAUGAUUUAAAAAUAAUGAACAGAGCCGUGGGAACCUAGGGGGUAAUAUCAAAGGGUGUAACAUAGAUAUAAUUUGAGUCCUAUGAGUAAAGGAAACAGGAUGGCGCAGACAAAACAUUCAAAGGUGUAGUGGCCAAAACAUUUCCUAAAUUUGUUGUUGUACCACACAAAUGUGAGAUUGUAAAAGUUCAGUGAACUCCGAAUUGGAUGAUUUAGUCCUUUUCUUGUUUAGAAAAAAAUGUGCAGCUUGCUGCCAGCAGUCAAUUAGUUUUACAUAAACAUGCUCUUUGAGGCUGAAGCAAAUCUGACUAAAUUUCAAUGUGAAAAUAAAAUAUAAAACUAUUCUUGGGGUUUGAUUUUUUUUUUUUUUUGAGAUUGGUCACUGAGGCUGGAGUACAAUGGCAUGAUCUUGGCUCACUGCAACCUCCAUCUCCCAGGUUCAAGUGAUUCUCCUGCCUCAGCCUCUGGAGUAGUUGGGAUUACAGGC